Molecule: ribosomal RNA, 394 nt
Filed under: uncultured bacterium
Lineage: Bacteria
Description: partial 16S ribosomal RNA
Rfam family: Bacterial small subunit ribosomal RNA
Source: RNAcentral
CCUACGGGUGGCAGCAGUGAGGAAUAUUGGUCAAUGGGCGCGAGCCUGAACCAGCCAAGUCGCGUGAGGGAAGACGGUCCUAUGGAUUGUAAACCUCUUUUGUCGGGGAGCAAAAGACGCCACGCGUGGCUUUCCGAGAGUACCCGAAGAAAAAGCAUCGGCUAACUCCGUGCCAGCAGCCGCGGUAAUACGGAGGAUGCGAGCGUUAUCCGGAUUUAUUGGGUUUAAAGGGUGCGCGGGGGGAAGUUAAAGUCAGUGGUAAAAUUGAGGGGCCAAACCUCGGCGAGCCGUUGAUACUGGCUGUCUUGAGAUGUGGUGAGGUAGGCGGAAUGCGCAGUGUAGCGGUGAAAUGCUUAGAUAUUGCGCAGAACUCCGAUUGCGAAGGCAGCAUACU